Molecule: ribosomal RNA, 751 nt
Filed under: Streptomyces sp.
Lineage: Bacteria; Bacillati; Actinomycetota; Actinomycetes; Kitasatosporales; Streptomycetaceae
Description: bacterial SSU rRNA
Rfam family: Bacterial small subunit ribosomal RNA
Source: RNAcentral
AUGCAAGUCGAACGAUGAACCUCCUUCGGGAGGGGAUUAGUGGCGAACGGGUGAGUAACACGUGGGCAAUCUGCCCUUCACUCUGGGACAAGCCCUGGAAACGGGGUCUAAUACCGGAUAUGACACACGGAGGCAUCUUCUGUGUGUGGAAAGCUCCGGCGGUGAAGGAUGAGCCCGCGGCCUAUCAGCUUGUUGGUGAGGUAAUGGCUCACCAAGGCGACGACGGGUAGCCGGCCUGAGAGGGCGACCGGCCACACUGGGACUGAGACACGGCCCAGACUCCUACGGGAGGCAGCAGUGGGGAAUAUUGCACAAUGGGCGAAAGCCUGAUGCAGCGACGCCGCGUGAGGGAUGACGGCCUUCGGGUUGUAAACCUCUUUCAGCAGGGAAGAAGCGAAAGUGACGGUACCUGCAGAAGAAGCGCCGGCUAACUACGUGCCAGCAGCCGCGGUAAUACGUAGGGCGCGAGCGUUGUCCGGAAUUAUUGGGCGUAAAGAGCUCGUAGGCGGCUUGUCACGUCGGAUGUGAAAGCCCGGGGCUUAACCCCGGGUCUGCAUUCGAUACGGGCAGGCUAGAGUUCGGUAGGGGAGAUCGGAAUUCCUGGUGUAGCGGUGAAAUGCGCAGAUAUCAGGAGGAACACCGGUGGCGAAGGCGGAUCUCUGGGCCGAUACUGACGCUGAGGAGCGAAAGCGUGGGGAGCGAACAGGAUUAGAUACCCUGGUAGUCCACGCCGUAAACGUUGGGAACUAGG